AUUGAACGCUGGCGGAAUGCUUUACACAUGCAAGUCGAACGGCAGCACGGACUUCGGUCUGGUGGCGAGUGGCGAACGGGUGAGUAAUGUAUCGGAACGUGCCCAGUCGUGGGGGAUAACGUAGGGAAAAUUACGCUAAUACCGCAUACGAUCUAUGGAUGAAAGCGGGGGAUCGCAAGACCUCGCGCGAUUGGAGCGGCCGAUAUCGGAUUAGGUAGUUGGUGGGGUAAAGGCCCACCAAGCCAACGAUCUGUAGCUGGUCUGAGAGGACGACCAGCCACACUGGAACUGAGACACGGUCCAGACUCCUACGGGAGGCAGCAGUGGGGAAUUUUGGACAAUGGGCGAAAGCCUGAUCCAGCCAUUCCGCGUGCAGGAUGAAGGCCCUCGGGUUGUAAACUGCUUUUGUACAGAACGAAAAGGUCUCUACUAAUACUAGGAGCUCAUGACGGUACUGUAAGAAUAAGCACCGGCUAACUACGUGCCAGCAGCCGCAGUAA
This 500-nucleotide ribosomal RNA is filed under the name uncultured bacterium. RNAcentral's name for it is "partial 16S ribosomal RNA". It matches the Rfam family "Bacterial small subunit ribosomal RNA", at positions 30 to 523 of the family's 1533-position model. The record is from RNAcentral.